Long non-coding RNA from Lolium rigidum, 1180 nucleotides. RefSeq lists it as uncharacterized. The record is from RefSeq and is a predicted model, not a curated record. NCBI's taxonomy places the organism in Eukaryota, Viridiplantae, Streptophyta, Magnoliopsida, Poales, Poaceae. The transcript is spliced from 3 exons.
GGCGGCCGCGCCCCUUCUUCCUCCGCCACGGUUCCUCUCCAGCUGAGCUCCUCUUUGAUCUGCGCUACGGCCCUGAGCCCCCUCCGACGUAGUUCUCCAGCUCGAUCCUUGAUCUCUCGCUACUGCCCCGGGCUGACGUCGCUGCCGUGAUACUGCAGCGAUCACUUCGAUGUUCGAUAUCAUGUUGUCGGCCGGGAGCCCAGCAUCAACAAGCCUCCCUUCCAAAUUCCUCCAGUGGUCUCCGAUGGUCGAGAUGGGCGUGACCUGGUGGUGUCCCCGUGGCAGCUCCUAGCUUCCCUGCAUACCGGCGGCUCUACCAGUGUCGAGUCUCAUGCCUCCACUUGAACUGCUACGCCACGCACGUCUGAACUUAUUCACAUCUGGGCCUGAACUUGGCGCUGGUAAAUGUCCGGGUGUGCCUCUCGAGAGCAGAGGUUCCACAAGCUCCAUGGCAGGCUAGCGCUGGCCUGCCGUGAAGGAGAGGCAGCUCCUUGCUCCUGUUGUCCGAUCUGCAUCUUCUCUCUGUUUUUCUCUCCACACAGUAGUACAUAUUUGGUAUGUGCUGAACCUGAUGCUCUUCUCCAUGCUGUGAAACCCUUGCCAUGGUGCCGAGCUGGUUGAGUUUGGUAUAUUUCGCUGAAUCAAAACCCUGAGAAGAUUAGAAGCUAGACUAGAUAAAGCUAAAUUUGACCGGUGGCCUCCAUAGUGAUGCAGGGAUAUUAUUUCCGGGCUCCCAUAGACUGGUCGAGUUUGGAGAAAAUGAUCAAGAUGAAAAGGCUAGCUUUCCUAGUGCUACCGUAUACUUGCUUGUAUUUUGCUAAAACCAUCUGGUGCGUGAGCUGAUGCACGCACUAGGGCUGAAAUAAAAGCAAAUGACUAGAUGGCCAAGUUUCGGUUCGCAUGAAAAAGAUAAUUCUGAGUUUCCAUUGUUUUUCUUGAGACUCCAGGUAAAUAAGCUUAGCUAGGACCGAUUUUUUCUGAAAUUUUCACACCAUUGACAGGCAGCAGCAGCCUGGAGUGAGUCAUAAUGGUCUGCGCGAGUUCGUGAACGUAUUAGUACAAGCAGCCUGCAGCAGGAGUUAUGAUGCAAUUUGCAGUUCAAGUUGUGAUUCACUUUCUUCAGCGAACGCGAUCUCCGCCACUAUCACCAGAGCUUGACAUGCCAUCGCCGACUGGGACU